RNAcentral lists this ribosomal RNA (406 nucleotides) under uncultured bacterium. Its description in RNAcentral is "partial 16S ribosomal RNA". It matches the Rfam family "Bacterial small subunit ribosomal RNA", at positions 30 to 526 of the family's 1533-position model. The record is from RNAcentral.
AUUGAACGCUGGCGGCAGGCCUAACACAUGCAAGUCGAACGAGUGGCGCACGUGUGUGUAAUGUCUGGGACACUGCCUGAUGGAGGGGGAUAACUUCUGGAAACUGUAGCUAAUACCGCAUACCAUCGGAUGUGCCCAUAUGGGAUUAGCUAGUAGGUGGGGUAAGGGCUCACCUAGGCGACGAUCCCUAGCUGGUCUGAGAGGAUGACCAGCCACACUGGAACUGAGACACGGUCCAGACUCCUACGGGAGGCAGCAGUGGGGAAUAUUGCACAAUGGGCGCAAGCCUGAUGCAGCCAUGCCGCGUGUAUGAAGAAGGCCUUCGGGUUGUAAAGUACUUUCAGCGGGGAGGCGUUACCCGCAGAAGAAGCACCGGCUAACUCCGUGCCAGCAGCCGCGGUAAUAC